This 392-nucleotide ribosomal RNA is filed under the name uncultured bacterium. RNAcentral describes it as "bacterial SSU rRNA". It matches the Rfam family "Bacterial small subunit ribosomal RNA", at positions 28 to 420 of the family's 1533-position model. The record is from RNAcentral.
GACGAACGCUGGCGGCGUGCUUAACACAUGCAAGUCGAGCGGUAAGGCCCUUUCGGGGGGUACACGAGCGGCGAACGGGUGAGUAACACGUGGGUGACCUGCCCUUAGCUCUGGGAUAAGCCUGGGAAACUGGGUCUAAUACCGGAUAUGACUCCAUGACGCAUGUUGUGGGGUGGAAAGCCUUGUGCGGCUAGGGAUGGGCCCGCGGCCUAUCAGCUUGUUGGUGGGGUGAUGGCCUACCAAGGCGACGACGGGUAGCCGGCCUGAGAGGGCGACCGGCCACACUGGGACUGAGGCACGGCCCAGACUCCUACGGGAGGCAGCAGUGGGGAAUCUUGCGCAAUGGGCGAAGGCCUGACGCAGCGACGCCGCGUGAGGGAUGACGGCCUCGG